Molecule: small nucleolar RNA, 96 nt
Organism: Juglans microcarpa x Juglans regia
Lineage: Eukaryota; Viridiplantae; Streptophyta; Magnoliopsida; Fagales; Juglandaceae
Product: small nucleolar RNA Z266
Exons: 1
Source: RefSeq, a predicted model, not a curated record
GAUUUUCAAGAAUGAUGAUUCAAUUAGAUGUGUGAAAGGAGAAUUCCUUGAUGAACUCAAUUUCUUGAGGCAUAUUUAAUUGUCUGACUUGUUGUC